RNAcentral lists this ribosomal RNA (459 nucleotides) under uncultured bacterium. RNAcentral's name for it is "partial 16S ribosomal RNA". It matches the Rfam family "Bacterial small subunit ribosomal RNA", at positions 338 to 795 of the family's 1533-position model. The record is from RNAcentral.
CCUACGGGUGGCAGCAGUGAGGAAUAUUGGUCAAUGGGCGCGAGCCUGAACCAGCCAAGUAGCGUGAGGGAUGACGGUCCUAUGGAUUGUAAACCUCUUUUGUCAGGGAGCAAAGGGCGCCACGUGUGGCGCUUGGCGAGUACCCGAAGAAAAAGCAUCGGCUAACUCCGUGCCAGCAGCCGCGGUAAUACGGAGGAUGCGAGCGUUAUCCGGAUUUAUUGGGUUUAAAGGGUGCGCAGGCGGAAUGUCAAGUCAGCGGUAAAAUUGCGAGGCUAAACCCCGUCGUGCCGUUGAAACUGGAGUUCUUGAGUGAGCGAGAGGUAUGCGGAAUGCGUGGUGUAGCGGUGAAAUGCAUAGAUAUGACGCAGAACACCGAUUGCGAAGGCAGCAUACCGGCGCUCAACUGACGCUCAUGCACGAAAGCGUGGGUAUCGAACAGGAUUAGAUACCCUUGUAGUC